This 330-nucleotide unclassified non-coding RNA is filed under the name uncultured Bacillota bacterium. RNAcentral describes it as "uncultured Firmicutes bacterium contains 16S-23S intergenic spacer region". Lineage: Bacteria; Bacillati; Bacillota. The record is from RNAcentral.
UCGCGGCUUAUCACCGGCAGUCCCCUUAGAGUGCCCAACUAAAUGAUGGCAACUAAGGGCGAGGGUUGCGCUCGUUGCGGGACUUAACCCAACAUCUCACGACACGAGCUGACGACAACCAUGCACCACCUGUCACUUUUGUCCCCGAAGGGAAAUCUCCGAUUAGGGAGAGGUCAAAAGGAUGUCAAGCUUAGGUAAGGUUCUUCGCGUUGCUUCGAAUUAAACCACAUGCUCCGCUACUUGUGCGGGUCCCCGUCAAUUCCUUUGAGUUUUAAUCUUGCGACCGUACUCCCCAGGCGGACAACUUCACGCGUUAGCUGCGUUACUAAA